AACACAUGCAAGUCCAACGGUAACAGGCCUUCGGGCGCUGACGAGUGGCGAACGGGUGAGUAAUGCAUCGGAACGUGCCCAGUCGUGGGGGAUAACUACUCGAAAGAGUGGCUAAUACCGCAUACGAUCUGCGGAUGAAAGCGGGGGACCUUCGGGCCUCGCGCGAUUGGAGCGGCCGAUGUCAGAUUAGGUAGUUGGUGGGGUAAAGGCUCACCAAGCCAACGAUCUGUAGCUGGUCUGAGAGGACGACCAGCCACACUGGGACUGAGACACGGCCCAGACUCCUACGGGAGGCAGCAGUGGGGAAUUUUGGACAAUGGGCGCAAGCCUGAUCCAGCAAUGCCGCGUGCAGGAAGAAGGCCUUCGGGUUGUAAACUGCUUUUGUACGGAACGAAACGGUCCUGGCUAAUAUCCGGGGCUAAUGACGGUACCGUAAGAAUAAGCACCGGCUAACUACGUGCCAGCAGCCGCGGUAAUACGUAGGGUGCGAGCGUUAAUCGGAAUUACUGGGCGUAAAGCGUGCGCAGGCGGUGCUGUAAGACAGGCGUGAAAUCCCCGGGCUCAACCUGGGAAUUGCGCUUGUGACUUGCANUGCUGGANUGCGGCAAAGGGGGAUUGGAAUUCCGCGUGUAGCAGUGAAAUGCGUUAAAUAUGCGGGGGAACACCGAUGGCGAAGGCAAUCCCCUGGGGCCUGCACUNGACGCUCAUUCACGAAAACCGUGGGGGAGCAAACAAGAAUUAAAUUCCCUGGGUUAUUCCACCCCCUAAACAAAUUUCAACUGGGUUGUUGGGAAUUUUACUUUCUCAGG
RNAcentral lists this ribosomal RNA (809 nucleotides) under Hydrogenophaga sp. 103. Its description in RNAcentral is "bacterial SSU rRNA". It matches the Rfam family "Bacterial small subunit ribosomal RNA", at positions 50 to 844 of the family's 1533-position model. The record is from RNAcentral. Lineage: Bacteria; Pseudomonadati; Pseudomonadota; Betaproteobacteria; Burkholderiales; Comamonadaceae.